UCUCGAACGCGGCAUUAAAACAGAGCAUGCGCUGGCUGUUGCGUCUCGAGCAUGGAGUGGUCUCGCGUCACUUUUCAAAUUAAGAUUGAACCGGGAACGCAGCAUUAAGGAAGAGGAGCGGACACCACAACUCUGUGAAAAUGAAUGAGCUGGAGGAUAUCAGCCACCACAUUCAUGACAGGAUAUCAUCCUUACAACGCAUGCUGGAUCUGUCAGUAGUUGAAUUGCCUGAAAAUAAGGUUAGGAAACUUGGACAAGAACUCUUUGCAAUAGAGAGACUUCUGGAGGAGUUUGAACAAUGUGUUGGUCGACAGAAAGAGCAACUCAAACAUCUGAAGGUAAACUCGAGGCCUU
Long non-coding RNA from Micropterus dolomieu (smallmouth bass), 354 nucleotides. RefSeq lists it as uncharacterized. The record is from RefSeq and is a predicted model, not a curated record. NCBI's taxonomy places the organism in Eukaryota, Metazoa, Chordata, Actinopteri, Centrarchiformes, Centrarchidae. The transcript has 3 exons.